This 301-nucleotide ribosomal RNA is filed under the name uncultured bacterium. Its description in RNAcentral is "partial 16S ribosomal RNA". It matches the Rfam family "Bacterial small subunit ribosomal RNA", at positions 509 to 807 of the family's 1533-position model. The record is from RNAcentral.
CAGUCGCCACGGUAAUACGUAGGGUGCAAGCGUUAAUCGGAAUUACUGGGCGUAAAGCGUGCGCAGGCGGUUAUAUAAGACAGAUGUGAAAUCCCCGGGCUCAACCUGGGAACUGCAUUUGUGACUGUAUAGCUAGAGUACGGCAGAGGGGGAUGGAAUUCCGCGUGUAGCAGUGAAAUGCGUAGAUAUGCGGAGGAACACCGAUGGCGAAGGCAAUCCCCUGGGCCUGUACUGACGCUCAUGCACGAAAGCGUGGGGAGCAAACAGGAUUAGAUACCCUAGUAGUCCCUGUCUCUUAUAC